UCCAGACUCCUACGGGAGGCAGCAGUGAGGAAUAUUGGUCAAUGGCCGAGAGGCUGAACCAGCCAAGUCGCGUGAGGGAUGACGGCCCUACGGGUUGUAAACCUCUUUUGUCGGGGGGCAAAGAGAGUCACGUGUGGCUCUUUGAGAGUACCCGAAGAAAAAGCAUCGGCUAACUCCGUGCCGGCAGCCGCGGUAAUACGGAGGAUGCGAGCGUUUUCCGGAGUUAUUGGGUUUAAAGGGUGCGCAGGCGGAGGGGCAAGUCAGUGGUCAAAUUGCGGGGCUCAACCCCGUGCUGCCGUUGAAACUGCAUCCCUUGAGUGCGCGAGAAGUAUGCGGAAUGCGUGGUGUGGCGGUGAAAUGCAUAGAUAUCACGCAGAACUCCGAUUGCGAAGGCAGCAUACCGGCGCGCAACUGACGCUCAUGCGCGAAAGCGUGGGUAUAGAGCAGGAUUAGAUACCCCC
Molecule: ribosomal RNA, 461 nt
Filed under: uncultured bacterium
Lineage: Bacteria
Description: bacterial SSU rRNA
Rfam family: Bacterial small subunit ribosomal RNA
Source: RNAcentral